AUGCAAGUGUUCUUGAAGCUUUGCCUCGGUCUCGUAUUGCUUGUAGCACAGUAUGCACCUGGAAUUGCGGUUCCUAGUUCAGAUUGCCCAAGGCAGUGUGGUACUGUUGAGAUACCGUAUCCGUUCGGUAUCGGUGCGAACUGCUCACUCUCAGUAGGCUUCAACAUCAGUUGCAAGGUCCAAGAUGGCGUCUCCAGACCAUUUAAAGGUGACUUUGAGGUUCUGGACAUUUCCUUGACUCAUGGCACGCUGCGGGUGUUCAAUUACAUCACGGCCUACUGUUACAAUGCCUCCACAACGAGCAUGAAGUUUUUCGGCCGUUACGACGGCUAUGUAGGUCGACCUUCCUCCCUCUACCGGCUCUCUGACGUUCAGAACAAGUUCACCGUCAUCGGGUGCAACGCCCUCGCAUUUAUAUCCGACUACAAUGGCACUGGCUAUCAGGGCUUGGGCGUCGCAACGUGCCGCAACUUGUCAGACUUAGCAGACGGAUCCUGCUCUGGCAUGGGCUGCUCCCAAACUGCGAUCCCAAAGAGGAUGUACUACUACGACACAACCUUCUUGAAAGGGGUCAACACAAGUGAAAUAUGGGAGUUCAACCCUUGCAGCUAUGCGGUACUGAUGGAGGCAGCGACAUUCAGGUUCAAUACUACGUACAUAAAUACCAACAAGUUCAAUGACACAUACAAUGGGCGAGUGCCUAUGAUUCUUGAUUGGGCUGUGAGAGAUGUGAAGUCAUGUGAUGUUGCAAAACAGAAUAACACGGGCACUUACGCAUGCCUUAGUAGCAACAGCGACUGUGUGGAUUCCACCAAUGAUCAAGGGUACACGUGCAAUUGCACCAAUGGUUAUGAAGGCAACCCUUAUCUUCAAGACGGAUGCAAAGAUGUUAAUGAAUGCAGUCACGGCCCAUGCCCUUCAGAUGGCUAUUGUCACAAUAUCGUUGGAGAAUACCGGUGUUCUUGUCGACUUGGAAAAAAAUAUGUCAAAGAAAGCAAUACAUGCAACCCUAAUACCGGCUUAAUAAUAGGAGUUAUAAUGGGAUUAUUUGGCGUAAUGGUUAUCAUCAUGAUCAUUGUCUUCUGGGGACAGAGGAUAAUUCAAACGGAAAAACUUAACAAAGUUAAGCAGGAGUAUUUUCGCCAGCAUGGAGGCUUGAUUUUGUUUGAUAGGAUGAAAUCAGAGCAAGGUCUUGCUUUUACUAUAUUUUCAGAAGCUCAACUCAUACGUGCCACCGACAACUUCAAUAGUAGCAGAAUACUUGGAAAAGGAGGCCAUGGGACGGUCUAUAAAGGGAUAAUAAACAACAUGCCAGUGGCAAUUAAAAGAUGUGCAGUGGUUGAUGAAAGGCAAAAGAAGGAAUUCGGCCAAGAGAUGCUCAUUUUAUCUCAAAUCAAUCACAAGCAUGUUGUCAAGCUCUUGGGUUGUUGUCUUGAGGUGGAAGUUCCGAUUCUAGUAUAUGAAUUUGUCCUAAACGAUACACUGUUCGAGCUUAUCCAUGGCAAGAACCAUGCAUUGCAAAUAUCCUUUAGUACUCUCUUAAGGAUUGCUCAUGAAGCAGCUGAAGGACUUAGCUUCCUCCAUUCAUUUGCAUCUCCCCCAAUAAUUCAUGGUGAUGUGAAAACUUCCAACAUCUUGCUUGAUGAUAACUAUAUGGCCAAAGUGUCAGACUUUGGAGCCUCCAUACUAGCCCCAUCUGACAAAGAGCAGUUUAUCACAAUGGUUAAAGGUACUUGUGGUUACCUUGAUCCCGAAUACAUGCAAACAUGCCAGUUAACGGACAAAAGUGAUGUGUACAGCUUUGGAGUUAUCCUUUUAGAAAUUCUCACGGGUCAGUUGCCACUAAAGCUCGAGGGGUCUGAGAAGCAAAGAAGCUUAGCAUUGAUUUUCUUGUCUGCUAUGAAGGAGAAUAACCUAAAUGAUGUGCUGGUUAGCCACGUUAAAGUCCAAGAAAGCAAGGAGUUGCUGGCAGGACUUGCAGACCUAGCUAAGAAAUGCCUAGAUAUGUGUGGUGACAACAGACCAUCUAUGAAAGAGGUCGCUGAUGAGCUCAACAGAUUGAGGAAACUUUCACUGCAUCCUUGGGUACGGCUCGAUGUUGAGCCGGAAGCAGAAAACCUUCUUGGACGAGAAUCUACUAGAGGGUAUGACAUAGAAUUAAGUGGGUAUCCUGUGGGUGAAAGUGAGAACCAACCCAUAAAUCCAAGAAGUUCCUAUUAUGCAAGGUGA
RNAcentral lists this ribosomal RNA (2229 nucleotides) under Triticum aestivum (bread wheat). Its description in RNAcentral is "partial small subunit ribosomal RNA". Lineage: Eukaryota; Viridiplantae; Streptophyta; Magnoliopsida; Poales; Poaceae. The record is from RNAcentral.